Long non-coding RNA from Sinocyclocheilus anshuiensis, 346 nucleotides. RefSeq lists it as uncharacterized. The transcript has 2 exons. The record is from RefSeq and is a predicted model, not a curated record. NCBI's taxonomy places the organism in Eukaryota, Metazoa, Chordata, Actinopteri, Cypriniformes, Cyprinidae.
UAAAUUGUAAUUGAAUAAGUCAGAGUGAAAUGUGACCUUUUGUGACAGUGUCACAGGUUUUUGAGAGGUUUUAUAACAUUUAUUUUGCAGGUUUUGUCCUUCAGUUCUGUCUCUGAUGUUCACUCUCAUUUUGAGACCCUCACCUCAACUAUCAACAGUCCAUCAGCCUCCUACAUCCUCAAAUUGGCCAACCGCCUCUAUGGAGAGAAAACCUUCAGCUUCUUACCUGAGUAUUUGGACUCCACUCUGAAGCUGUACCACACGGACCUUCAGGCUGUGGACUUCAUUGGAGCAUCUGACGAGUCACGACUGCUCAUUAACAAAUGGGUGGAAGAGCAGACAGAGA